GGGUCGUUAGCUCAGUUGGCGGAGCCGCUCGCGGCGACGGCCCGAAGGGCGAGCGAAGCGAGUCAUCCUGCACGACCCACCA
Molecule: transfer RNA, 82 nt
Filed under: Escherichia coli
Lineage: Bacteria; Pseudomonadati; Pseudomonadota; Gammaproteobacteria; Enterobacterales; Enterobacteriaceae
Description: tRNA-Arg
Source: RNAcentral